UAAGUGCAUCGUCCGAUUAAACGAUUUCACAAGUUACUUGACUUUUUAAAUAUAAAGUCAUUAUACUAUUAGUUAUAGGGAAUGAGGAUGACGAGGACGAAAAUGCAUUCCUUUAUAUUGAUAUUAACUUUUAUCGCCAUGUAUAAACAAACUACUGGAAGCAUUUGCUGCUUACCUCGCCAGUGGCAUGCGGUUCAAUUGGUGUCGAUGAGAUCUACUGACAAGGUAUAUGUAGAUGUUUCGUUCGAUGCAAAUCUGAAGAAUGUUGCAUCAUAUAUGAAAGUAUCAAGAGAAGGAAUACAAAGUCAAGAAUUUUCACUCCAAGAUUACGGCAAUAGUAUUGAGUACUAUGUCGCCAACAAUGUUUGUGAGAAAAUACCAAUCUCUACAGGUUUCCCUUGGUGUGUACC
This is a long non-coding RNA of Mytilus californianus (California mussel), 410 nucleotides long. RefSeq lists it as uncharacterized. Lineage: Eukaryota; Metazoa; Mollusca; Bivalvia; Mytilida; Mytilidae. The record is from RefSeq and is a predicted model, not a curated record. The transcript is spliced from 3 exons.